This 253-nucleotide ribosomal RNA is filed under the name uncultured bacterium. RNAcentral's name for it is "partial 16S ribosomal RNA". It matches the Rfam family "Bacterial small subunit ribosomal RNA", at positions 524 to 776 of the family's 1533-position model. The record is from RNAcentral.
UACGUAGGGUGCAAGCGUUGUCCGGAAUUAUUGGGCGUAAAGAGCGUGUAGGCGGCUCGAUAAGUCCGCUGUGAAAGUCCAGGGCUCAACCCUGGGAUGCCGGUGGAUACUGUCGGGCUCGAGUCCGGAAGAGGCGAGUGGAAUUCCUGGUGUAGCGGUGAAAUGCGCAGAUAUCAGGAGGAACACCAAUGGCGAAGGCAGCUCGCUGGGACGUGACUGACGCUGAGACGCGAAAGCGUGGGGAGCAAACAGG